Molecule: ribosomal RNA, 846 nt
Filed under: uncultured bacterium
Lineage: Bacteria
Description: bacterial SSU rRNA
Rfam family: Bacterial small subunit ribosomal RNA
Source: RNAcentral
AGUCAGGGGGAAAUCUUUCUUCGGAGAGAGAGUAUACCGGCGAACGGGUGAGUAACGCGUAGGUAACCUACCCUAUACUCGGGGAUAACACAGAGAAAUUUGUGCUAACACCCGAUGAGGCAAUUUAUUGUCAAAGAUUUACGGUAUAGGAUGGGCCUGCGUCUGAUUAGCUAGUUGGUAAGGUAAUGGCUUACCAAGGCUACGAUCAGUAGCUGGUUUGAGAGGAUGAUCAGCCACACUGGAACUGAGACACGGUCCAGACUCCUACGGGAGGCAGCAGUGAGGAAUUUUGCACAAUGGGGGAAACCCUGAUGCAGCGACGCCGCGUGUACGAUGAAGGGGCUCUGCUCUGUAAAGUACUGUCAGUAGUGAAAAGAAGAGGGGUUGCCCCUCUGGGAUUGUAGCUACAAAGGAAGGACCGGCUAACUACGUGCCAGCAGCCGCGGUAAUACGUAGGGUCCGAGCGUUGUCCGGAAUCACUGGGUGUAAAGGGUCCGCAGGCGGGUCUGUACGUCGAAGGUUAAAGACCACGGCUCAACCGUGGGAGUGCCUUCGAUACGGCAGAUCUUGAGUGUGAGAGAGGUAGGUAGAAUUCCUGGUGUAGCAGUGAAAUGCGUAGAUAUCAGGAGGAAUACCGGUGGCGAAGGCGGCCUACUGGCUCAUCACUGACGCUCAUGGACGAAAGUGUGGGUAGCGAACAGGAUUAGAUACCCUGGUAGUCCACACCCUAAACGAUGUAUGCUUGGUGUUAGAACGCAAGUUCUAGUGCCGGAGGUAACCCGUUAAGCAUACCACCUGGGGAGUACGAUCGCAAGGUUGAAACUCAAAGGAAUUGACGGGGGCCCG